UAUGUGAUCGUCUCUCGCAUAUCAAUAAGCGGAGGAAAAGAAACUAACAAGGAUUCCCCUAGUAACGGCGAGUGAAGCGGGAAGAGCUCAAAUUUGAAAUCUUAAGGGUUUCCCUUUACGAAUUGUAGUUUAAAGAAGUGUUUUCUGUUGAGGUUUUGGUAAAAGUUCUUUGGAAUAGGACAUCAUAGAGGGUGAGAAUCCCGUAUUUGACCAUUUACUUUCAGCUUUGUGAUACACUUUCAAAGAGUCGGAUUGUUUGGGAAUGCAGUCCAAAAUGGGUGGUAAAUUUCAUCUAAAGCUAAAUAUUGGCGAGAGACCGAUAGCGAACAAGUACCGUGAGGGAAAGAUGAAAAGAACUUUGAAAAGAGAGUUAAACAGUACGUGAAAUUGUCAAAAGGGAAGCGUUUGACACCAGUGUUGUUUUUCUGAAAAUCAAUUAAGGAACUGUUUAUGCUAAGUUGUUUAGACUUUAUCAGCUAACUGUUUAGUUUUGAGCUUUUCUUUAAUGCACUUUUCAGUUAACAAGUCAACAUCAAUUUCUUUUGCUGUAAAAAAGCUUGAGGAAGGUGGCUUGAGAUUCGUCUUAAGUGUUUAUAGCCUCUUGCCUAUGCAGUCGGAGAGAUUGAGGUCUGCAGCGUAGAUCCUUCGGGGCUAAAUGCAUUUGUGCUAAGUUAUAGCAUUUUAUAGACAACUUGUUGACUAUGAUUUGUCUUGUAGCUUACUCGCUUAUGUUAUUUUACCUACGCUUAGGAUGUUGAGUCAUCACACAUCUCU
This 774-nucleotide ribosomal RNA is filed under the name uncultured Neocallimastigales. RNAcentral describes it as "partial large subunit ribosomal RNA". It matches the Rfam family "Eukaryotic large subunit ribosomal RNA", at positions 24 to 614 of the family's 3401-position model. The record is from RNAcentral. Lineage: Eukaryota; Fungi; Neocallimastigomycota; Neocallimastigomycetes; Neocallimastigales.